This 301-nucleotide ribosomal RNA is filed under the name uncultured bacterium. Its description in RNAcentral is "partial 16S ribosomal RNA". It matches the Rfam family "Bacterial small subunit ribosomal RNA", at positions 509 to 807 of the family's 1533-position model. The record is from RNAcentral.
CAGUCGCCACGGGAAUACGGAGGGUGCAAGCGUUAAUCGGAAUUACUGGGCGUAAAGCGCACGCAGGCGGUUUGUUAAGUCAGAUGUGAAAUCCCCGAGCUUAACUUGGGAACUGCAUUUGAAACUGGCAAGCUAGAGUCUUGUAGAGGGGGGUAGAAUUCCAGGUGUAGCGGUGAAAUGCGUAGAGAUCUGGAGGAAUACCGGUGGCGAAGGCGGCCCCCUGGACAAAGACUGACGCUCAGGUGCGAAAGCGUGGGGAGCAAACAGGAUUAGAUACCCCGGUAGUCCCUGUCUCUUAUAC